CGGGGCGGCAAAACGUCCGCCCGGGCCCGAGGCGGGCGGAGGCAGCUGUGGUUACGUGCGGGGGGCCGGUGACGCAGUCGCGGGGCGCUGGGACGCGGCUUGCGGAGCCGGCCGGCGAGCGCAGGCCCCAGGCUCGGGCGCGGCGGCGGGACAGCACCUACCUUCCCGGCUUCGGGUCCGGGAGUGCGGGGCGCGGAGCCGCCGGAGCGCUGCCUCCCUCCUUCCUCCUCCCCUCGCCCCCGCCCCGCGGCGCGACACACAAUACUCGCCGGAAGCGGAAGCCGCGCCGAGGCUCGUGUCAGUGGAAGCUGGGGUGUCGGCGGGCGGCCGCGGCCGGGUCUAGCGGUGCCUGCGGAAGAAGGAGGAGGAGGGCUGGCGAUGAGAAGCAGCAGGGGGAAUCAAGGGCAAGAAGGGACCCAGAGGGGCAGGUGGCUGAGAUGCUGGCGUCCAGGUGACCCGAGGAAUCCUCUGGAGAUACAGGCCCGCGCAUGCGCGUGCUCGAGCGCUGAAGCCCAUUGCCCGCAGGGCGCUGGACUGGCGCCCCGGCCGGCGAGGCUGUCUAGUCCAGGCUCCAGGCCCCGGCUCUGGCCAGGCGCCGCCGCCUCCCGGUGCAGCUGAAAGUCGACGAAGAGGGCGGGGCGGGGGCGGCUUGUGGACUUCCACACUUUUCCUCUCUUCGGGCCAGUCUGGGGAGAGGGUGGCUAGCUGUGGCGGCGGCCAAUUACGUGGCGGACCUGCGGGGCUAAGCUGGCACGUCACUUCCGACUAGUGGAGUUUUUAGCCUUUUAACAUUCAAGGAUUAGGUAAGUUCUCCCCGCGGUAGACUUCAAAUACUCUUUGUCCUGCCCCUGCUUGGCGAAAUUUACCGAAAUUAUCUACCUAUCCCGCUGGAGUGGGAGCCGGGGGAGAGCUGGAACCGCGUCUCUGCUGCUCACCUUUGUGUCCUUAGCUCCUUCGCAUGGGGUCCGACCGCAACACGUGCGCUGGAUAAACGCUUGUUAACUGGAGCUCCCUCUUUGCCCACUAGCAGGGCAUUAGCUGGUGCUGAAGACAGUGGCUGCUUGGCGAGCCUGGAUCUCCAAGUGACCCCCUCAGCAACUCCUGAUGAACAGGGACUUGCACUUAGGAAUCUGUUACAGUGAGCACAGAAGCAGACCUGUGGGCUCAUAGUCUUCACCCCCCACCCAUAUAUACAAGAUGAACAGAGUGGAGGUUAAACAACUUGACUAAACAACACAGUUCAUGGUAAAGCCCAAGACUGUACCUGCCCAUCCACUGCCUUUUCCAUGUAUCCUGGAACUGAGCAUAGACCUCUUCCCAGGCAGAGCUGACAGCAAGUAAAGGAGAUCAUAAUCAGGGGACCAAACAACUUUGUCUAAAGUGUGAAUGUCACCUAAGGAGAAGCUGUGAGAUCAGAAGGGUGGGGCAGAGGAGCAGACACCAUGAGAGAGAGUCCUUGGGGGUACAUCUGCCAGACUGACACUGUCUGGCCUGGGCAGUGGAGGGGCUAGCAGGAACCACAGGUACUGGUGGUGUGGCUACUACCGUUACAACUGCCUGUGCUUGGACAUGGACCCUCUGCAAUAUGCGGCAGUUUCAUUCAUUGCCCCCUACAUUCUACACCAAGUAGAAAUGGAAGGCAAUUGGAUACUUCACAGACAAGAUCUAAGUGGAGAAGGAAUGCGUCCUGUGGCUGCAGAGAUCCUUGGAGCUUGGAGGGGAGAGCUUGAGCCCCACUGAUGAUGACCUCCCACAGCUCGCCAACUCAGCCCUCCCUAAGUCCCCAUCGGGGGCCAAUUCUCACUCUGGGGUUGGGGGGACUCCACCAUAGCUCAUCCAUCAUAGGGAUGUUGGUAUCUACUGUGGGUUGGGUAGGGCCGAUGUGCUGAGGAUGGCUCCCCCACAAGCAAGAGAUGUGGAUUUGGGGAGCUUCCCAUCUUGUGUUGAAGGAACAUAACUCAGAAUAAUAAGAGCCAACUAUAACAAACCCACAGCCAACAUCAUACUGAAUGGGCAAAAGCUGCAGGCAUUCCCCUUGAAAAGUGGCACAGGAUAAGGAAGCCCUUUCUCACCACUCCUAUUCAAUAUAGUGUUGAAAGUCCUGAUCACAGCAGUCAGGCAACAGAAAUAAUAAAGGGCAUCCAAAUAGGAAGAGAGGAAGUCAAACUAUCCUUGUUUGCAGACAGUAUGAUUCUAUAUCUAGAAAACCCCAUAGCCUCAGCCCAAAAGGUCCUUCAUCUGAUAAUUUCAGCAAAGUUUCAGGAGACAAAAUCAGUGUACAAAAAUCACUAACAUUCCUAUACACAGUCGCCAAGCCAAGAGCCAAAUCAGGAGCACAAUCCCAUUCAUAAUUGCCACAAAAAAGAAUAAAAUACCCAGGAAUGCAGCUAACCAAGGAAGUAAAGGAUCUCUACAAUGAGAAUCACAAACGCUGCUCAAAGAAAUCAGAGAUGACACAAACAAAUGGAAAAACUUUCCAUGCUCAUGGCUAGGAAGAAUCAAUAUCAUUAAAGUGGCCAUACUACCCAAAGCAAUUUAUAGAUUCAAUGCUAUUCCUAUCAAACUAUCAAUUACAUUUUUCACAGAACUAGAAAAAACUUAAAAUUCAUAUGGAACCAAAAAGCCUGAGUAGUCAAGGCAAUCCUAAACAAAAAGAACAAAGGUGGAGGCAUCACAUUACCUAACUUCAAACUACAGGGCUACCAUGACCAAAACAGCAUGGUACUGGUACAAAAGCAGACACACAGACCAGUGGGACAGAAUAGAGAGCCCAAAAAUAAGGCCACAAACCUACAGCCAUCUGAUCUUCAACAAAGUUGACAAAAACAAGCAAUGGGGAAAGGUCUCCCUAUUCAAUAAAUGGUGCUGGGAUAACUGGCUGGCCAUAUGCAGAAGAUCGUAACUGGACCCCUUUUACUAUGUACAAAAAUUAAGAUGGUUUAAAGAGUUAAAACCCAAAAUUAUAAAAAUCCUGAAGAUAACUUAGGCAAUACCAUUCUGGACAUAGGAACUGGCAAAUAUUUCAUGAUGAAGACACCAAAAGCAAUUGUAACAAAAGCAAAAAUGGACAAAUUGGAUUUAAGAGCUUUUUCAUAGCAAAAUAAACAACAGGGCAGACAAUCUACCAAAUGACAGAAAAUUUUUGCAAACUAUGCAUCUGACAAGGGGCUAAUAUCUAGCAUCUAUAAGGAAUUUAAACACAGUUACAGG
RNAcentral lists this long non-coding RNA (3210 nucleotides) under Homo sapiens (human). Its description in RNAcentral is "long non-coding RNA NONHSAT116591.2". Lineage: Eukaryota; Metazoa; Chordata; Mammalia; Primates; Hominidae. The record is from RNAcentral.